Molecule: transfer RNA, 72 nt
Filed under: Lachnospiraceae bacterium
Lineage: Bacteria; Bacillati; Bacillota; Clostridia; Lachnospirales; Lachnospiraceae
Description: tRNA-Glu
Rfam family: tRNA
About the family: Transfer RNA (tRNA) molecules are approximately 80 nucleotides in length. Their secondary structure includes four short double-helical elements and three loops (D, anti-codon, and T loops).
Source: RNAcentral
GGCUCGGUGGUCAAGGGGUCAAGACGCCGCCCUCUCAAGGCGGAAUCACGAGUUCGAUUCUCGUCCGGGCUA